GUGGGGAAUCUUGCGCAAUGGGCGAAAGCCUGACGCAGCCAUGCCGCGUGAAUGAUGAAGGUCUUAGGAUUGUAAAAUUCUUUCACCGGGGACGAUAAUGACGGUACCCGGAGAAGAAGCUCCGGCUAACUUCGUGCCAGCAGCCGCGGUAAUACGAAGGGGGCUAGCGUUGCUCGGAAUUACUGGGCGUAAAGGGAGCGUAGGCGGAUAGUUUAGUCAGAGGUGAAAGCCCAGGGCUCAACCUUGGAAUUGCCUUUGAUACUGGCUAUCUUGAGUAUGGAAGAGGUAUGUGGAACUCCGAGUGUAGAGGUGAAAUUCGUAGAUAUUCGGAAGAACACCAGUGGCGAAGGCGACAUACUGGUCCAUUACUGACGCUGAGGCUCGAAAGCGUGGGGAGCAAACAGGAUUAGAUACCCUUGUAGUCC
RNAcentral lists this ribosomal RNA (425 nucleotides) under uncultured bacterium. RNAcentral's name for it is "bacterial SSU rRNA". It matches the Rfam family "Bacterial small subunit ribosomal RNA", at positions 354 to 796 of the family's 1533-position model. The record is from RNAcentral.